This 699-nucleotide ribosomal RNA is filed under the name uncultured Glomerales. RNAcentral's name for it is "LSU rRNA". It matches the Rfam family "Eukaryotic large subunit ribosomal RNA", at positions 38 to 633 of the family's 3401-position model. The record is from RNAcentral. Lineage: Eukaryota; Fungi; Glomeromycota; Glomeromycetes; Glomerales; Glomeraceae.
GCAUAUCAAUAAGCGGAGGAAAAGAAACUAACAAGGAUUCCCUUAGUAACGGCGAGUGAAGAGGGAAAAGCUCAAAUUUUAAAUCUAUCAUGUUUGUACAUGAUCGAAUUGUAAUUUGAAGAAGCGUUUUCUCGUACUUUAUGCAAUCAGUAUAAGUUCUCUUGGAACAGGACAUCAUAGAGGGUGAUAAUCCCGUCUGUUACUGGUUGUGAGGUUCGUUAUGAUACGCUUUCAAAGAGUCGAGUUGUUUGGGAUUGCAGCUCCAAAUGGGUGGUAAACAUCACCUAAGGCUAAAUAUUUGCGAGAGACCGAUAGCGAACAAGUACCGUGAGGGAAAGAUGAAAAGAACUUUGAAAAGAGAGUUAAAAAGUAUGUGAAAUUGUUGAAAGGGAAACGAUUGAAGUCAGUCGUGCAGUCAUCAAUUCAGCGGUUAACAUUUUAUGUUUCCGUGUAAUUUGGUGUCUGUUGGUUAGCAUCAAUUUUGAUUGUUAUAAAAAGGUUAAGGGGAUGUGGCUCCUUCGGGAGUGUUAUAACCCUUAGCGUAAUGUAACGAUUAGGAUUGAGGUUUGCAACGAAUACCUUUUAGGGCAGUUUCACCUGGCCUCUCGUGGAAUUAUAGAUAGUUAAGAGCAUGCUCUUACUGUCUAUGAUUCUACGAAAAGGUUAGUGUAAAACUAAUUCGUUAAGGAUGUUGACGUA